RNAcentral lists this ribosomal RNA (491 nucleotides) under uncultured bacterium. Its description in RNAcentral is "partial 16S ribosomal RNA". It matches the Rfam family "Bacterial small subunit ribosomal RNA", at positions 29 to 507 of the family's 1533-position model. The record is from RNAcentral.
AGUGAACGCUGGCGGUAGGCCUAACACAUGCAAGUCGAACGGCAGCACAGUAAGAGCUUGCUCUUACGGGUGGCGAGUGGCGGACGGGUGAGGAAUACAUCGGAAUCUACUUUUUCGUGGGGGAUAACGUAGGGAAACUUACGCUAAUACCGCAUACGACCUACGGGUGAAAGCAGGGGAUCUUCGGACCUUGCGCGAUUGAAUGAGCCGAUGUCGGAUUAGCUAGUUGGCGGGGUAAAGGCCCACCAAGGCGACGAUCCGUAGCUGGUCUGAGAGGAUGAUCAGCCACACUUGAACUGAGACACGGUCCAGACUCCUACGGGAGGCAGAAGGGGGGAAUAUUGGACAUGGGCGCAAGCCUGAUCCAGCCAUACCGCGUGGGUGAAGAAGGCCUUCGGGUUGUAAAGCCCUUUUGUUGGGAAAGAAAAGCAGCAGGUUAAUACCCCGCUGUUCUGACGGUACCCAAAGAAUAAGCACCGGCUAACUUCGUG